Oryza sativa Japonica Group (Japanese rice) is the source of this 1094-nucleotide long non-coding RNA. RefSeq lists it as uncharacterized. Lineage: Eukaryota; Viridiplantae; Streptophyta; Magnoliopsida; Poales; Poaceae. The record is from RefSeq and is a predicted model, not a curated record.
CUGAAUGUUGUUGAUCUUGGUUAGGUGGAAGGCGCAUUCGUGCAAGGGAUCGGCUUCUUCACGAACGAGGAGUACGCGACCAACUCCGAUGGGCUGGUCAUCCACGACAGCACGUGGACGUACAAGAUCCCCACCGUGGACACCAUCCCCAAGCAGUUCAACGUCGAGCUCAUCAACAGCGCCCGCGUUCACAAGCGCGUCCUCUCCUCCAAAGCGUCCGGUGAAGCCGCCGCCGCUGCUGGCGUCGUCGGUGCACUGCGCGAUGAGGGAGGCGAUCAAUCAGGGCGGCCAGGAAGGAGUUCGCCGGCGCCGGCGGCUCGGCGAUGACUUUCCAGAUGGACGUGCCGGCGACGAUGCCGGCCGUCAAGGAGCUCUGCGGCCUCGACGUCGUCGAGAGGUAUCUCGAGAGCUUUACUGCCAAAGCCUAGAGAUAGAUGAUGAUGGUUCAUUGGCUUCGCUUGCAACAUUAAGGGAGAAUAGCUAAUAUGGUCUCUAAAGUUUCGCUCCUGGGUUAUUUUAGUCCUUAAUCUUUCAUAUUAUCCAAACAAGUCCUUUAAAUUUGUCAUGUGGGCUAAUAUAGUCUCUGGUUCCACUAAAAUCGUCACAUAGACAUGCCAUGUCACCUUCCUAUGCAAAAUCUAUAUGAUAGAAAAUAAAAAACAAAAGGAAAAAUUUAAAAAAUAUAUAUGGUAUAUAUAAGAGCAAAAAUAUACCUUAAAAGGGUGAAAAAAGAAGUAUAUUUUUUCAUAUGGUUAUGUCUAAUUCACCCUUAUAUUUAUUUUUCUAUGAUAUACGUAAAGGUAAAUUGGACAAUUCAUCAUAGAUUUUGCAUGAAUGAUGACAUAACAUAUCCAUAUGAUGAUUUUAGUGGACCCAAGGACUAUUCUAGGUCUUAUGACAAAUGUUAAGGAUUUUUUUGGACCAUUUAAAAGGUUAGGGACUAAACUAAUCCUACAGAGAAACUUUAGGGACUGCUGGCUCGUUUGUUGAUGCAUGAAGAAGAAAAGUAUUUUUCUUUUUGAAAAAAAACCAGUAUAUGUAUGAAAAUCAUAUGCGAUUAUGCAUGGUAAUGUUACUACCUUUGCCUGAUGACU